This 253-nucleotide ribosomal RNA is filed under the name uncultured bacterium. RNAcentral describes it as "partial 16S ribosomal RNA". It matches the Rfam family "Bacterial small subunit ribosomal RNA", at positions 524 to 776 of the family's 1533-position model. The record is from RNAcentral.
UACGUAGGGGGCAAGCGUUGUCCGGAAUCAUUGGGCGUAAAGAGCGUGUAGGCGGCUCGGUAAGUCCGCUGUGAAAGUCCAGGGCUCAACCCUGGAAUGCCGGUGGAAACUGUCGAGCUAGAGUCCGGAAGAGGCGAGUGGAAUUCCUGGUGUAGCGGUGAAAUGCGCAGAUAUCAUGAGGAACACCAAUGGCGAAGGCAGCUCGCUGGGACGGUACUGACGCUGAGACGCGAAAGCGUGGGGAGCAAACAGG